Molecule: ribosomal RNA, 115 nt
Filed under: Pteropus alecto (black flying fox)
Lineage: Eukaryota; Metazoa; Chordata; Mammalia; Chiroptera; Pteropodidae
Source: RNAcentral
GUCUACAGCCAUGUCACCCUGAACAAGUCUGACGUCUGAUCUCGGAAGCUAAGCAAGGUCAGGCCUGGUUAGUAUUUGGAUGGGAGACCACAUGGAAGACCAGGUGCUGUAGGCA